CACUACCACCCCCACAAUACCUACAUCAAUGGAUAGAGCUCCUCAAGACCUAGCUAUUGAUGCCAAUUUCACCCAAAAAAUCGGGCGACCAAAAUCCAGCCAAAUUCCGGCGACCUUCCCGAACACCCUUUUUUGGCAUACCACCAUUUUUUCGGUCACUUGAAUUGUAAAAUGGUAAUUUUCGGACCAUGUAAACUCAUAAAAUCGAGUUGGAAUGAAAGAUAAUGAAGCUGGAAAAUAUUAGUAGCUUUAUCCUUCUAUUGUAAUUCAUUUUUAUAUGCUCUUGAAUGUUUGAUAAUGUUAUAACGAUAUGUUAGUUAAUUAAAUUGUGUUAAGCAUCUUUAAUUAUUUUUAUUUUUGCAAAGCAUUAGAUA
This is a non-coding RNA of Nicotiana tabacum (common tobacco), 374 nucleotides long. Lineage: Eukaryota; Viridiplantae; Streptophyta; Magnoliopsida; Solanales; Solanaceae. The record is from RefSeq and is a predicted model, not a curated record.